GACCCUGGUCUGUGCACGCCUAGGGCCCAUCACCCCGUCGGCACAACCACAGGCUGUUCACUGAGCUCCCGGCCCCCAGCCCUGUGCCCUCCAGCCACGCCCACCGAGCACCCUAUCUCCCCGGGGGGGCGGUGGCCUCCUGGCUGGACGCCCGGGGAGGUCCUCCUGUCUCCCGUCUGCAGCCCCUGCAGUGGACCCCGGCACAGAGCAAACAAGGUCUGCAGUAUUUCAUAAUUGCUGAGAUGAAGAACCCCUAUUUUCCAAGAUGUUCAGGAAUAACUCAGGUUUAAAGACCACGUCCUAACAACUGGAAUGGGCCGAUUAUUCCAGGGGAAUCCACCAAGGAGCGUUGCCACACGAGGUGCAUCAGGCACAUUUCCUUCUGCUCCUGCAGAGUCUCCUCCAGCAGGCCGGUCCCCUUUGCUGGUUUCCAUACCUCCCAUGACCUCCAGUUGCUGGGCAGCAAGGACAGCACACUGGAGUCUGCACUCCGCUGAGUAAAAGGGUACCAGGGGCUCCUGGGCGCAGGUAUGCAGCCUGGACACUAAAAGCUGAGCCCCGACAGGGGAGCCUGUCGUUGGGGAACGUGAGUGCAGGGUAGGCGCGGAUGUGAUCCUUGGGCUGUUGAGGAGAAGGGGCUUGGGCGGCAACCCGCCCAGGGGCAUGUGGACAGUCCACCAUCACGCAGGGACCUGCCCACCCCUGCCUGUAAGGCCCACAGUGACCAGGAGCUCCACUGCGCAGGUGUCUUCCCCUUUUCCAGACCAUGCUUCCAAAUAGCACCCAGGAACUUGCUAGAAAUGCAGACUCUGGGGCCACCCUGGACUGCUGAUCCUGGGGCUCGGAGGAUGGGCCUGGGGUCUGUUCCCGCUGUCCGGGGAAUGCCGACGAAUGAU
Mustela erminea (ermine) is the source of this 896-nucleotide long non-coding RNA. RefSeq lists it as uncharacterized. The transcript has 4 exons. NCBI's taxonomy places the organism in Eukaryota, Metazoa, Chordata, Mammalia, Carnivora, Mustelidae. The record is from RefSeq and is a predicted model, not a curated record.